GGAGGGUUAGUCUAAUGGUAAGGCACUGGUUUCGAAAACCAGCGGGAGAAAUCCCCUUACAGGUUCGAGUCCUGUACCCUCCGCCA
Molecule: transfer RNA, 86 nt
Filed under: Candidatus Staskawiczbacteria bacterium RIFOXYC1_FULL_38_18
Lineage: Bacteria; Candidatus Staskawicziibacteriota
Description: tRNA-Ser
Rfam family: tRNA
About the family: Transfer RNA (tRNA) molecules are approximately 80 nucleotides in length.
Source: RNAcentral